UACGAAGGGGGCUAGCGUUGCUCGGAAUUACUGGGCGUAAAGCGCACGUAGGCGGCUUGUUAAGUCAGGGGUGAAAUCCUGGAGCUCAACUCCAGAACUGCCUUUGAUACUGGCGAGCUUGAGUUCGGGAGAGGUGAGUGGAACUGCGAGUGUAGAGGUGAAAUUCGUAGAUAUUCGCAAGAACACCAGUGGCGAAGUCGGCUCACUGGCCCGAUACUGACGCUGAGGUGCGAAAGCGUGGGGAGCAAACAGG
RNAcentral lists this ribosomal RNA (253 nucleotides) under uncultured bacterium. Its description in RNAcentral is "partial 16S ribosomal RNA". It matches the Rfam family "Bacterial small subunit ribosomal RNA", at positions 524 to 776 of the family's 1533-position model. The record is from RNAcentral.